RNAcentral lists this long non-coding RNA (278 nucleotides) under Homo sapiens (human). RNAcentral's name for it is "non-protein coding lnc-CDRT15-5:1". Lineage: Eukaryota; Metazoa; Chordata; Mammalia; Primates; Hominidae. The record is from RNAcentral.
GUGAAGAGAGCCUCCUUUUGUUGAUUUCCCUAAGUCAUCAGUCAGACUAGCAGUACAUCAAUAUUAUAAGCAUUUUUCUAAACAGAAGAAAUGAAUGAGUUCCCAAGUGUAGCCACUCAAAAGCCUGCAUCAGCUCAGUGAAACUUUCCUUCCAAGAGGCCCACAGCUUCUGGCCUGUCUCCUGAUGGAACAGAAUAUGUGUGGAAAGGGCUUCAUGCUGUGGUCACUGAUUACAGAGUCAAUUAUCUUACUACAAUUUUUUUCACAGUAAGAAAACC